CAGGCCUAACACAUGCAAGUCGAGCGGACCAUUCCUUCGGGGAUGGUUAGCGGCGGACGGGUGAGUAACACGUAGGCAACCUGCCUGUAAGAUCGGGAUAACUACCGGAAACGGUAGCUAAGACCGGAUAGCUGGUUUCUCCGCAUGGGGGAAUCAUGAAACACGGGGCAACCUGUGGCUUACGGAUGGGCCUGCGGCGCAUUAGCUAGUUGGUGGGGUAACGGCCCACCAAGGCGACGAUGCGUAGCCGACCUGAGAGGGUGAUCGGCCACACUGGGACUGAGACACGGCCCAGACUCCUACGGGAGGCAGCAGUAGGGAAUCUUCCGCAAUGGGCGCAAGCCUGACGGAGCAACGCCGCGUGAGUGAUGAAGGUUUUCGGAUCGUAAAGCUCUGUUGCCAAGGAAGAACGCCUCGGAGAGUAACUGCUCUGAGGGUGACGGUACUUAAGAAGAAAGCCCCGGCUAACUACGUGCCAGCAGCCGCGGUAAUACGUAGGGGGCAAGCGUUGUCCGGAAUUAUUGGGCGUAAAGCGCGCGCAGGCGGUCUUUUAAGUUUGGUGUUUAAGCCCGGGGCUCAACCCCGGUUCGCACUGAAAACUGGGAGACUUGAGUGCAGGAGAGGAAAGCGGAAUUCCACGUGUAGCGGUGAAAUGCGUAGAGAUGUGGAGGAACACCAGUGGCGAAGGCGGCUUUCUGGACUGUAACUGACGCUGAGGCGCGAAAGCGUGGGGAGCAAACAGGAUUAGAU
This 750-nucleotide ribosomal RNA is filed under the name uncultured bacterium. RNAcentral describes it as "bacterial SSU rRNA". It matches the Rfam family "Bacterial small subunit ribosomal RNA", at positions 43 to 783 of the family's 1533-position model. The record is from RNAcentral.